Molecule: ribosomal RNA, 2013 nt
Filed under: Candidatus Jettenia asiatica
Lineage: Bacteria; Pseudomonadati; Planctomycetota; Candidatus Brocadiia; Candidatus Brocadiales; Candidatus Brocadiaceae
Description: bacterial LSU rRNA
Rfam family: Bacterial large subunit ribosomal RNA
Source: RNAcentral
AAGUUGUCAAGCUAGAGAAGGGUACAUGGUGGAUGUCUAGGCGCUAAGAGACGAUGAAGGACGCGGAAGACUGCGAUAAGCUUCGGGGAGCUGCCAAACAAGCAUUGAUCCGGAGAUUUCCGAAUGGGGAAACCUACUAUGGGUUUAUACCAUAGUAUCGGUAUCUGAAUACAUAGGGUAUCGAGGUGAACGGAGAGAAGUGAAACAUCUCAGUAACUCCAGGAGAAGAAAGAAAUUCGAUUUCCUCAGUAGCGGCGAGCGAAAGGGAAGAACCCAAACCGGUUGUGUGUCAAGCCCUUGUGUGUUGCACAGCCGGGGUCGUGGGGAUUGCAUUCGGCAAACAAGGCUUGCCGGGAAAGUUACCAACGAAAUUUUUAGCUGAAUAGUGCAGGAAAGCCUAACCAUAGAAGGUGAUAGUCCUGUAGGCGAAAAGAAUUUCGCUUUCUUUGCAAUUUCCCAAGUAACAUCCGUCUCGUGGAAGCGGGUGUGAAUUAGGGGGGUCCAUCCUCUAAGGCUAAAUACUUCCUAGCGACCGAUAGCGCACAAGUAGCGCGAGCGAAAGAUGAAAAGCACCCCUGUUAGGGGGAUGAAAUAGAACCUGAAAUCGUGUACUUACGAGCGGUGGGAGCACUAUGUAUCGCAAGAUACAGUGUGACCGCGUGCCUUUUGCAUAAUGAACCGGCGACUUACUGUGCAUUGCUUGGUUAAGUCUGUGAAGGACGGAGCCGUAGCGAAAGCGAGUGUGAAAUGCGCGAUAUAGGGUAGUGCAUAGUAGACCCGAAACCAGGUGAUCUACCCUUGGUCAGGAUGAAGCGGAUGUAAAAGUUCGUGGAGGUCCGAACGCACUUGCGUUGAAAAGCGAGGCGAUGAACUGAGGGGAGGAGUAAAAGUCUAAUCAAACUUGGUGAUAGCUGGUUCUCCUCGAAAUAGCUUUAGGGCUAGCCUUAUGGAACUAUGGAACGGGGGUAGAGAUACUGAUUGGAUUUUGGGGUCCACCAGACUACCAAAUCCUGUCAAACUCCGAAUACCGUUCUAUGUAUCGUAAGAGUCAGACUGUGGGGGAUAAACUUCAUGGUCAAGAGGGAAACAACCCAGACCGACAGCUAAGGUCCCUAAAAUAGACUAAGUGAUAAAGGAAGUGAGAGUGCGAAGACAGUUAGGAUGUUGGCUUAGAAGCAGCAACCAUUUAAAAAGUGCGUAAUAGCUUACUAAUCGAGCACUCUUGCGCCGAAAAUAUUACGGGACUCAAGUCUGUUACCGAAGCUUCGGAUUUGUGAGAUUAUGCGUAAUCUUACAAGUGGUAGGGGAGCGUUCUACGAUAGGUUGAAGAGAGACUGAAAAGACUCUUGGACGAUGUAGAAGUGAUAAUGCCGGUAUAAGUAGCGAUAAUAUAAGUGAGAAUCUUAUUCGCCGCAAGCCUAAGGUUUCCUGGGGAAGGUAAAUCCGCCCAGGGUUAGCCGGGACCUAAGUCGAGGCUGAAAGGCGUAGACGAUGGAUAGCAGGUUAAUAGUCCUGCGCCACCAUACGAGCAUUUGAGCAUGGGGGGACGGAGGUGUGAAGGUUAGCAAACCUAUUAGACACGGUUUGUUCAAGCCGGAGGUGUUGUCUCAGGAAAAUCCGGGACAUAUGGCAUCGAAGGUGAGUACGUAGGCGUAAGCCGAUAAGUAACCGGAGCACCUUCCAAGAAAAGCCUCGUUUGCAAGUUCGUAUGGUGCUCGUACUAAAACUGACACAGGUUGGCGGGGAGAGGAUCCCAAGGCGCUCGAGAGAACCCUCGUUAAGGAACUCGGCAAAAUCACUCCGUAACUUCGGGAAAAGGAGUACCCUGAUAAUAUCAGGGUCGCAGUGAAAAGGCCUGGGCGACUGUUUACUAAAAACACAAGUCUCUGCUAAGAUCUAAAAUCAACGUAUAGAGACUGACGCGUGCUCGAUGCCAGAACGUUAAGGGAAUGGGUUAGUGUCCGAAAGGAAUGCGAAGCUCAGAACCGAAGCGCUGGUGAAUGGCGGCUCUAA